GACAGAGGGUGCAAACGUUGUUCGGAAUUACUGGGCGUAAAGCGCGUGUAGGCGGCCCUGUAAGUCGGGUGUGAAAUCCCGGGGCUCAACCCCGGAACUGCCUUUAAAACUGUUGGUCUGGAGGUCGAGAGAGGUGAGUGGAAUUCCGAGUGUAGAGGUGAAAUUCGUAGAUAUUCGGAAGAACACCAGUGGCGAAGGCGGCCUGCUGGGCUGUUGCUGACGCUGAGGCGCGACAGCGUGGGGAGCAAACAGG
This 253-nucleotide ribosomal RNA is filed under the name uncultured bacterium. RNAcentral describes it as "partial 16S ribosomal RNA". It matches the Rfam family "Bacterial small subunit ribosomal RNA", at positions 524 to 776 of the family's 1533-position model. The record is from RNAcentral.